Molecule: long non-coding RNA, 543 nt
Filed under: Physcomitrium patens
Lineage: Eukaryota; Viridiplantae; Streptophyta; Bryopsida; Funariales; Funariaceae
Description: long non-coding RNA (PPAT_LNC004206)
Source: RNAcentral
AAGAAGCAGAAGCCUUGAAUUGGGUCAAUCUGAUGGUCACAUUUUGCUUUGCUGACUACAUACAUAAUCACCACUUCAAAAUGAUCAUGUAUGUACAUAAUUCAUUGCAUGACCAUUUUAACAUUACCACUUUAUAUAUAUAUAUAUAUAUAUAUAUCUAUUUUUUUUUUCUUCUCAAAAUAAGGAUAGUAAAAGUUCAGUGUGUUUUCACUUGGUCAUUGAGAUCUCAUUCUAUAAUGAACUUGUAGUAACAUGAUGUGUUGUGGUGUGUGACAUUAUUAAAGCACCAAGAAUUAGAAAUGAGUUUGGUAGUUGGAGCUUAUCUCUGGAGCAUUUGAGGAAUGGUUUCACAACCAAUCUGGUUUUAAGAUGUGAGACAAAAUGAACAGGUGCCAUAAAAAAUUGCCUUGAUUGAUGUACUAAUCAAGUUUCAAAAAUCAACACUAGAUACUUGCAUAUUACUAUUAACCUUCCUUGUGUCAGAAAUAGGCAAAACAGUGUUCAAUGUGGCCUUUGAAAGAAGUUGAACUUUGCUUGGAUUCC